CGAGAAACGUUUGCGAAUGUAGCGAAAGCACGACCAAGGUUAACUCCGAGUGGUUUCUGACUAAAGGAACCUUUUGCCGAGUCCUAGAAACACUGGUGAAUAAGGGGUGGGCAAGUUCUGGUGUCAGCCGCCGCGGUAAAACCAGCACCUCAAGUGGUCAGGAGGUUUAUUGGGCCUAAAGCAUCCGUAGCCUGAUCUAUAAGUUCCGGUUAAAUCCACAUGCUCAACAUUUGGGCUG
RNAcentral lists this ribosomal RNA (238 nucleotides) under uncultured Nitrososphaerota archaeon. RNAcentral's name for it is "uncultured thaumarchaeote partial 16S ribosomal RNA". It matches the Rfam family "Archaeal small subunit ribosomal RNA", at positions 340 to 573 of the family's 1478-position model. Lineage: Archaea; Thermoproteati; Nitrososphaerota. The record is from RNAcentral.